AUUGAACGCUGGCGGCAGGCCUAACACAUGCAAGUCGAGCGGAUGACGGGAGCUUGCUCCUUGAUUCAGCGGCGGACGGGUGAGUAAUGCCUAGGAAUCUGCCUGGUAGUGGGGGGCAACGUUUCGAAAGGAACGCUAAUACCGCAUACGUCCUACGGGAGAAAGCAGGGGACCUUCGGGCCUUGCGCUAUCAGAUGAGCCUAGGUCGGAUUAGCUUGUUGGUGAGGUAAUGGCUCACCAAGGCGACGAUCCGUAACUGGUCUGAGAGGAUGGUCAGUCACACUGGAACUGAGACACGGGCCAGACUCCUACGGGAGGCAGCAGUGGGGAAUAUUGGACAAUGGGCGAAAGCCUGAUCCAGCCAUGCCGCGUGUGUGAAGAAGGUCUUCGGAUUGUAAAGCACUUUAAGUUGGGAGGAAGGGUUGUAGAUUAAUACUCUGCAAUUUUGACGUUACCGACAGAGUAAGCACCGGCUAACUCUGUGCCAGCCGCCGCGGUAA
RNAcentral lists this ribosomal RNA (500 nucleotides) under uncultured bacterium. RNAcentral's name for it is "partial 16S ribosomal RNA". It matches the Rfam family "Bacterial small subunit ribosomal RNA", at positions 30 to 523 of the family's 1533-position model. The record is from RNAcentral.